AAAAAAAAAGCAUGGAAGAUUCAUAGUUCCUGAUAGAAAUCACCCCCUUUGUGACCAUUGCCUAAUUUUAUCUGUCCACCACACUUUGCUACAACUUUUCCUGCCUACCACUAUAGUUUCUUGCAACUAUUCUGACCUUGCAUGUUGCUUUUUCACACUCAAGUUAAAUACCCAAGAAUGUUAAGAAAACACGCAAAGGGUUGAGAAUUUGUAAAGAAUUAUUGUGAAGCUAAGCUUCAAGAUAAUUAUUCCUACUUCACAACACUAUUUAUUAUCAGAAAAAUUUAAAAUUUCCCCUUUGGAAAGCUAUCUACAUGCACCUAGCAAUCUAGAUUUGAUUACUUGUUACCGCCCAUAUAAUAAACAGUAGUCAUUGCAACUAUAUAACAAACUUUCAUCCUAAAGAUUUAGAAAGAUAACUUUAGGUUUGCAAUCACAAAGACUAUCUAAUGUAGGAAAUCCUAGAGAUUCUACUACUACUUAUUUUAGGAAAAAAAUAAAUAGUACUUUAUUUUAUUUAGAAGUUACAAGUUUUAUUUGCUUUGUAAUUUGUGAUUCCUAAUUAGAAUUG
This 571-nucleotide unclassified non-coding RNA is filed under the name Hevea brasiliensis (rubber tree). The record is from RNAcentral. Lineage: Eukaryota; Viridiplantae; Streptophyta; Magnoliopsida; Malpighiales; Euphorbiaceae.